CCAUUUCCCCCUCUCUUUUUGCCAUUUCCCCCUCUCUUUUUGACAUUUCCCCAUCCCUGCUAUUGAAGGAGGCGGGAUCACCAUGAGCUCCAGAGGACCACUAAACUCUCCCCUUAAACCCUACUGAGUUCCUAAUUCCUCCUCAUGGGCCACCGUUUGGACCCCGUUUCCUUUCUUUCCUCUGACGCUGCUUUCUAAAGGACUUGGCUGUCUGGAAGAGCCACCAGACCUGAGGUGUGACCCCAUUCCCAUCACACGUUGGCACGGACACGGGGUGACAGGAUCGUGCAUGGCCCAGGAGCGCGCCUGUUCCCGUGUCCUCGGAGCGGCGGCGUUCCGUUAGCAAUCCAGGUCAGUUGUACAGUGAAUGCUGAUUCCUCUGCCCUCUAAAGCACCCGUGUGUGUGUGUGUGUGUGUGUGUGUGUGUGAUCCUGCUGCACGGAGCUCCCCACGCUUCCUUCUCCCAUGUGUUUAACACUGCCUCGUUUCCUAUUAGCCCGGAGCCUGGGGACAACAGACGCCGCUCAUCCGUUCCCAUCUCCAUGUUCCAGCUCCAUCAGGAGCACGGCGAAGUCUGUUCACAGAGGAUCCUGCAAGAGAACAGAGAUGGAAAAGGCCAUUUGGAUGGGGCACGGAGCAACCUGCUCUAAUGGAAGGUGUCCCUGCCCAUAGCAGAAGGUUGGAACUGGGUGUAAUUUAAGCUCAGGGCUAUAAAAAGGAUAAAGGUUUUCCAUGGGGAGCAUCCCUGUCUCAAGCCUGGGGGCUCAGCCAAUGCAGUUUGGCCUCAAAAUUGCAUCACCACUUGACAUUGUCCCUUCUGGAAGCCUCUGCUGAGCGGGACAGCUUGAUGGCUCUGGGAAGCAGUUGUCUGCCUGCAGGAAUUAAGGGGGAUUAUUUCUUUCCUUCCUUCUAGCAGGAAUAACAGGAAUACGAGCGCCGGCGAGGGCUCAUUCCCACAUGGAAGCAGCUGGCUUAGCGCUCUCGGCGGAGGAGAGCCAAGCAUUGCAAUGGGGAUUCCUGCACUUUCAGAGCAGCAGGGAGAUGUUUCUGGAUAACAGAGGCAAAUCCCAGGGCUGCUGUAAUGUUGUCACCUCUGCGAGGCCGUGUGGCAUUAACAUCGUGCCGACGGCACGAACCGCGGCUUCUGUCAGAGCCAAGGGGAAAAGAGCCCGGUGAUCCUUUGGGAAUGUCGUGCUUUCGGGGUCAGGUGGGUGGAAAAGGUCCCUGAAGCCCUGGGGAAGGGUUUUAACCGGCUUUGAAGGAGGCAAAGGCUUUGGGUUAACUCCUCUCGAGCGCCUGUGGGGAAGCACAGAUGCCUCCAGGCUGUUCCUCGCAGUGGAGCUGUGCCGGGAGGAAGCAGCCUUUGGAAAACUCAUCAGAUGCUGACAACCGAUUGUCCUUACUCAAUAGAUAAUCUAAGGCUGAUUCCAAACGGA
Long non-coding RNA from Pezoporus occidentalis (night parrot), 1436 nucleotides. RefSeq lists it as uncharacterized. Lineage: Eukaryota; Metazoa; Chordata; Aves; Psittaciformes; Psittacidae. The transcript is spliced from 2 exons. The record is from RefSeq and is a predicted model, not a curated record.